This 252-nucleotide long non-coding RNA is filed under the name Mytilus galloprovincialis (Mediterranean mussel). The record is from RNAcentral. Lineage: Eukaryota; Metazoa; Mollusca; Bivalvia; Mytilida; Mytilidae.
AUAUCGUCAAUCGAAAUUUUCCUUUCUUUUCAACUAAUUAUUUCUUUAAUUGCCUAAAUGUAAAAUUAUCCAAUGUUUUCAGCGAAGAAAGUGCACUGACCGUUAGUUCAUUAAUGGCAAUGUUCGAUCAUUCACUUGUACAUAUCCUUUUCUUUCUUUGUAUUUGAAUUGAUUAUUAAUUCUUCACUAGCAUAAUGAAUUUUGUCAACUGCUCCAGUUUUGUCACCAGUUUAUAUUUACAAUCCUGUUGAC